UACGGAAGGUCCGGGCGUUAUCCGGAUUUAUUGGGUUUAAAGGGAGCGUAGGCCGGAAAUUAAGCGUGUUGUGAAAUGUAGAUGCUCAACAUCUGCACUGCAGCGCGAACUGGUUUCCUUGAGUACGCACAAAGUGGGCGGAAUUCGUGGUGUAGCGGUGAAAUGCUUAGAUAUCACGAAGAACUCCGAUUGCGAAGGCAGCUCACUGGAGCGCAACUGACGCUGAAGCUCGAAAGUGCGGGUAUCGAACAGG
This 253-nucleotide ribosomal RNA is filed under the name Segatella copri DSM 18205. RNAcentral describes it as "Prevotella copri DSM 18205 partial 16S ribosomal RNA". It matches the Rfam family "Bacterial small subunit ribosomal RNA", at positions 524 to 776 of the family's 1533-position model. Lineage: Bacteria; Pseudomonadati; Bacteroidota; Bacteroidia; Bacteroidales; Prevotellaceae. The record is from RNAcentral.